AACGGCCAUACUAUGCUGAAUAUAACGGUUCUCGUUAGAUCACCGAAGUCAAGCAUCAUUGGGCGCGGUCAGUACUUGGGUGGGUGACCACCGGGGAACACCGCGUGCCGUU
This 112-nucleotide ribosomal RNA is filed under the name Caerostris darwini. Lineage: Eukaryota; Metazoa; Arthropoda; Arachnida; Araneae; Araneidae. The record is from RNAcentral.